UGUUGGCUUAGUUAGGAGGCAGAAAUCAACUUUAUUUCUCUUCUUAUGCAUUUUGAGGGAACAGCUUGGUUAUCCAUAUAGUUGUUCUUCAAGCAGCAUUGGACAUUG
Small nucleolar RNA from Mercurialis annua (annual mercury), 108 nucleotides. RefSeq annotates it as small nucleolar RNA U19. Lineage: Eukaryota; Viridiplantae; Streptophyta; Magnoliopsida; Malpighiales; Euphorbiaceae. The transcript has a single exon. The record is from RefSeq and is a predicted model, not a curated record.